GUGAACGCUGGCGGUAGGCCUAACACAUGCAAGUCGAACGGCAGCACAGUAAGAGCUUGCUCUUACGGGUGGCGAGUGGCGGACGGGUGAGGAAUACAUCGGAAUCUACUUUUUCGUGGGGGAUAACGUAGGGAAACUUACGCUAAUACCGCAUACGACCUACGGGUGAAAGCAGGGGAUCUUCGGACCUUGCGCGAUUGAAUGAGCCGAUGUCGGAUUAGCUAGUUGGCGGGGUAAAGGCCCACCAAGGCGACGAUCCGUAGCUGGUCUGAGAGGAUGAUCAGCCACACUGGAACUGAGACACGGUCCAGACUCCUACGGGAGGCAGCAGUGGGGAAUAUUGGACAAUGGGCGCAAACCUGAUCCAGCCAUACCGCGUGGGUGAAGAAGGCCUUCGGGUUGUAAAGCCCUUUUGUUGGGAAAGAAAAGCAGCAGGUUAAUACCCCGCUGUUCUGACGGUACCCAAAGAAUAAGCACCGGCUAACUUCGUG
Molecule: ribosomal RNA, 491 nt
Filed under: uncultured bacterium
Lineage: Bacteria
Description: partial 16S ribosomal RNA
Rfam family: Bacterial small subunit ribosomal RNA
Source: RNAcentral